CAAAUUAAAGCUUCAGAAGCUCUAUUAUUUACAUUAAUAGGAUAGUUGUGCGAAUCAACUUAAUUUGA
Molecule: transfer RNA, 68 nt
Filed under: Reduvius tenebrosus
Lineage: Eukaryota; Metazoa; Arthropoda; Insecta; Hemiptera; Reduviidae
Description: tRNA-Val
Source: RNAcentral